UCACUGACCAAAAGUUUAAGAGCCGCGGUAUAUUGACCGUGCAAAGGUAGCAUAAUAAUUAGUUUUUUAAUUGAAAACUAGCAUGAAUGGUUUGACAAAAGAAAAGCUGUCUCUUUUUUAAAUAUUGAAUUUAACUUCUAAGUGAAAAGGCUUAGAUGAUUCAGGGGGACGAUAAGACCCUAUAAAGCUUUAUAUGUUUUAAAUAUUUUGCUAAAUUAAUGUCUAAAAGUUUAUAUUUGAAAUUUAUUUUGUUGGGGUGACAAAGGUAUAAGUAAAAUAACUGUUUUUAAUACACACAAUAAUGGUUGAAUAUAUUUAAUUGAUCCUCUGUAGUGAUUUAAAAUUAAGUUACUUUAGGGAUAACAGCGUAAUUCUUUUCGAGAGCCCAUAUCGAAAAAAGAGUUUGCGACCUCGAUGUUGAAUUAAAAAUUCUUUAUUGUGCAGCCGCCAUAAAAGAAGGUCUGUUCGACCUUUAAUUUUUUACAUGAUUUGAGUUCAGAUCGGCGUGAGCCAGGUUG
This 518-nucleotide ribosomal RNA is filed under the name Acanthocarpus delsolari. Its description in RNAcentral is "partial 16S ribosomal RNA". It matches the Rfam family "Archaeal large subunit ribosomal RNA", at positions 1955 to 2702 of the family's 2987-position model. Lineage: Eukaryota; Metazoa; Arthropoda; Malacostraca; Decapoda; Calappidae. The record is from RNAcentral.